AACGAACGCUGGCGGCAGGCUUAACACAUGCAGGUCGAGCGCCCCGCAAGGGGAGCGGCAGACGGGUGAGUAACGCGUGGGAACGUACCUUUUGGUUCGGAACAACUCCGGGAAACUGGAGCUAAUACCGGAUAAGCCCUAACGGGGAAAGAUUUAUCGCCGAAAGAUCGGCCCGCGUCUGAUUAGCUAGUUGGUGAGGUAACGGCUCACCAAGGCGACGAUCAGUAGCUGGUCUGAGAGGAUGAUCAGCCACACUGGGACUGAGACACGGCCCAGACUCCUACGGGAGGCAGCAGUGGGGAAUAUUGGACAAUGGGCGCAAGCCUGAUCCAGCCAUGCCGCGUGAGUGAUGAAGGCCUUAGGGUUGUAAAGCUCUUUUGUCCGGGAAGAUAAUGACUGUACCGGAAGAAUAAGCCCCGGCUAACUUCGUG
RNAcentral lists this ribosomal RNA (431 nucleotides) under uncultured bacterium. Its description in RNAcentral is "partial 16S ribosomal RNA". It matches the Rfam family "Bacterial small subunit ribosomal RNA", at positions 29 to 507 of the family's 1533-position model. The record is from RNAcentral.